This 151-nucleotide unclassified non-coding RNA is filed under the name soil metagenome. RNAcentral's name for it is "partial internal transcribed spacer 1". The record is from RNAcentral.
CCGAGUUUACAACUCCCAAACCCCUGUGAACAUACCUAACUUGUUGCCUCAGGCGGAUCAGCCCGCGCCCGUAAAACGGGACGGCCCGCCAGCAGGAUCCCCUAAACUCUGUUUCUAUAUGUAACUUCUGAGUAAAAACCAUAAUAAAUCA